This 253-nucleotide ribosomal RNA is filed under the name uncultured bacterium. RNAcentral's name for it is "partial 16S ribosomal RNA". It matches the Rfam family "Bacterial small subunit ribosomal RNA", at positions 524 to 776 of the family's 1533-position model. The record is from RNAcentral.
UACGGAGGGUGCGAGCGUUGUCCGGAAUCACUGGGCGUAAAGGGCGCGUAGGCGGCGCGGAUAGUCGGCGGUGAAAGCCCGGAGCUCAACUCCGGAAUUGCCAUUGAAACUGUUUGGCUCGAGUACGAGAGAGGUGAGUGGAAUUCCCAGUGUAGAGGUGAAAUUCGUAGAUAUUGGGAAGAACACCGGUGGCGAAGGCGGCUCACUGGCUCGUAUCUGACGCUCAGGCGCGACAGCGUGGGGAUCAAACAGG